AGAUGACCGAUGACAAGCUGUGA
Molecule: non-coding RNA, 23 nt
Filed under: Cricetulus griseus (Chinese hamster)
Lineage: Eukaryota; Metazoa; Chordata; Mammalia; Rodentia; Cricetidae
Source: RNAcentral